RNAcentral lists this non-coding RNA (26 nucleotides) under Homo sapiens (human). The record is from RNAcentral. Lineage: Eukaryota; Metazoa; Chordata; Mammalia; Primates; Hominidae.
ACCCUGCUAUGUGCCAGGCGUGCUGA